This 496-nucleotide ribosomal RNA is filed under the name uncultured bacterium. RNAcentral describes it as "partial 16S ribosomal RNA". It matches the Rfam family "Bacterial small subunit ribosomal RNA", at positions 29 to 507 of the family's 1533-position model. The record is from RNAcentral.
AUGCACGCUGGCGGCGUGCCUAAUACAUGCAAGUCGAGCGAACGGACGAGAAGCUUGCUUCUCUGAUGUUGGCGGCGGACGGGUGAGUAACACGUGGAUAACCUACCUAUAAGACUGGGAUAACUUCGGGAAACCGGAGCUAAUACCGGAUAAUAUUUUGAACCGCAUGGUUCAAAAGUGAAAGACGGUCUUGCUGUCACUUAUAGAUGGAUCCGCGCUGCAUUAGCUAGUUGGUAAGGUAACGGCUUACCAAGGCAACGAUGCAUAGCCGACCUGAGAGGGUGAUCGGCCACACUGGAACUGAGACACGGUCCAGACUCCUACGGGAGGCAGCAGUAGGGAAUCUUCCGCAAUGGGCGAAAGCCUGACGGAGCAACGCCGCGUGAGUGAUGAAGGUCUUCGGAUCGUAAAACUCUGUUAUUAGGGAAGAACAUAUGUGUAAGUAACUGUGCACAUCUUGACGGUACCUAAUCAGAAAGCCACGGCUAACUACGUG